Transfer RNA from Culex pipiens (northern house mosquito), 72 nucleotides. It matches the Rfam family "tRNA". Rfam says of the family: Transfer RNA (tRNA) molecules are approximately 80 nucleotides in length. Their secondary structure includes four short double-helical elements and three loops (D, anti-codon, and T loops). Lineage: Eukaryota; Metazoa; Arthropoda; Insecta; Diptera; Culicidae. The record is from Rfam.
GGGACCGUGGUGUAGGGGUAAGCGUGGUUGCCUCUCACCCAGACGUCUUGGGUUCGAACCCAGACGGUCCCG